AUCUGAGCUGAUGCAGCUGCAGAAGAGUCAGCUGGAUUCUAUUUUGGUGUCUUUGUUUUUCACAGCCAGCCAAUGGAGCAGAAGGAGGUCCACUCGGAAUCACCAAUGCAUAAGGUGGCCAAAGCAAACUUGCUUGAGAAAUUAGUGAAUAGCUGCCUAAGCAAAAGGCUCUCUUUGCUCAGGAAACCUCCGGAGCUCAAUUUCAAACUUUUACCGUGCUUGAUCAUCCUCCUAGCAUUGUUGAUAUUUUAUACAUAUUUCUUUCAUACUACCUGGAUAUGCCAGAUACUGCAGUGUACCUGUCGCAGGCACUAUGCCAGUUGCCUUCGGCCGCACUGACCCUAGAAUAUUUGAAAGGGUCGGGACUGGAUUACUACAAUGCUGUUUUCCUUUGCUUGCUUUUGGAACAGAG
Molecule: long non-coding RNA, 412 nt
Organism: Trachemys scripta elegans
Lineage: Eukaryota; Metazoa; Chordata; Testudines; Emydidae
Exons: 3
Source: RefSeq, a predicted model, not a curated record